CAAAGAGUAGUUUAAUUUUAGAACACUGGCUUUGGGAGCCAGCGGCGGGAGUUAAAAUCUCCUCUCUUUGA
RNAcentral lists this transfer RNA (71 nucleotides) under Gobiomorus maculatus (Pacific sleeper). RNAcentral describes it as "tRNA-Pro". It matches the Rfam family "tRNA". Rfam says of the family: Transfer RNA (tRNA) molecules are approximately 80 nucleotides in length. Their secondary structure includes four short double-helical elements and three loops (D, anti-codon, and T loops). Lineage: Eukaryota; Metazoa; Chordata; Actinopteri; Gobiiformes; Eleotridae. The record is from RNAcentral.